GGUUCUGUGGUGUAGUGGUUAUCACGUAUCGUUCACAUUCAAUUAUCACGUGAUUAAUUGGAGGAUGCCGAUAAGGUCACGAGUUCGACCCUCGUCAGGAUCA
This is a transfer RNA of Sugiyamaella lignohabitans, 103 nucleotides long. It matches the Rfam family "tRNA". Rfam says of the family: Transfer RNA (tRNA) molecules are approximately 80 nucleotides in length. Their secondary structure includes four short double-helical elements and three loops (D, anti-codon, and T loops). NCBI's taxonomy places the organism in Eukaryota, Fungi, Ascomycota, Dipodascomycetes, Dipodascales, Trichomonascaceae. The record is from Rfam.